This 355-nucleotide unclassified non-coding RNA is filed under the name soil metagenome. RNAcentral's name for it is "partial contains 5.8S ribosomal RNA, internal transcribed spacer 2, and large subunit ribosomal RNA". The stretch from base 1 to 120 matches the Rfam family "5.8S ribosomal RNA", at positions 35 to 154 of the family's 154-position model. The record is from RNAcentral.
GAUGAAGAACGUAGUGAAAUGCGAUAAGUAAUGCGAAUUGCAGAAUUCAGUGAAUCAUCGAAUCUUUGAACGCACAUUGCGCCCGCUAGUAUUCUGGCGGGCAUGCCUGUCUGAGCGUCAUUUCAACCCUCGCCCCCGGCUUUUGCUGGGAGCGGUGUUGGGGAUCGGCCGCCCGUCACUGGGAGGCCGGCCCCGAAAUAGAGUGGCGACCACGCCGUGUGCUCCUCUGCGUAGUAGUAAAUCACCUCGCAGGCGGACAGCGGUGCGGCCUGCCGUAAAACCCCCAACUCUUUCUGGUUGACCUCAGAGCAGGUAGGAAUACCCGCUGAACUUAAGCAUAUCAAUAAGCGGAGGA